Molecule: long non-coding RNA, 5281 nt
Organism: Daucus carota subsp. sativus
Lineage: Eukaryota; Viridiplantae; Streptophyta; Magnoliopsida; Apiales; Apiaceae
Exons: 3
Source: RefSeq, a predicted model, not a curated record
GUAACAACCGUAAAAUUUCAAGUACGUAAACAAAUUAAUUAUUUAAUUUUAUGCGGUUAAAGCUAUCAUUUAAAUAAUUGUGAAAUUAUUAUUUAAUAAAAAUAUUGGUACGUAAAACAUUUCAGGCUAGUACGAGGUUUGUUUAUAUCGGCUAGCAAAUUAAAUCCAUUUUCGUACCAUUAGGAUCUAAAUGUUGGCCACGUAAAUAAAUUGGUAGAUGUAUAAUUUUGUUAUGGCCCGGGAAUAUUAUAAAUUUUACGGGUUUAGCUAAAAGAAAUAUUUCGUUAUAACUAUUAAAUUUUGAAAUAUUUAGAGAAAUACUAGAAUAAUUAUUUAAUUAAUUAUUUAGUAUAAUCCCGAAUGAUAUUUUUUAUUAAAAUAUUUAAAUAGGAAGUUGUUAAAUGACCCGGGGCUAAAAUAUUUCCAGUUGCGAAACAUUUAAUAUACGGGCAAAUAAAAAGAAUAUAUAAAUAAAUAAAUAAAUAAUAUUUUAACAAAACUAGCUAACCGACUAAUGGGGUGGUUUGUGGCACAUUGGUUUAUCAAAACCAGGUACUUAAAAACCAAAGAGUAGUGCCCAAGUAAUUGUUAACCAAGGUAAAUUAAAUCUUAACCAUGAUUUAUGAUUAGUAUAAAUACCAAACACGUUGUUUAGUUUUAGUUUGGCAAAUUCAGGAGGUACCAAAGCAAGUAAAACUCAAGACAGUAAAGAAGAAUCAGAAUCCAUCAUCAAGAAAUUGAAUAUUCGGAAGGAUGAAACCGAUUAUACGUGAUAAUUACAAGAAUAUUAUCAAGCUAAGGACGACAGUGAGAUUGGCACAACCCAAGAGAUUUGCCCGGAAACGGGUUUUGGCAUAGGCAAGGAAAAGGCGCAUCACACAAGCUGAGGCUGCUAGACUACAUUGUUUGGUAGUACAACUAUAGUUAUUAUCAUGGUCUGUAAUCGGACUUGCAAAUAUGUAAUCAAGAUAGACCUGAUAGUAAUGUUGUAAGACGAUCGACCCUGGACUUGUGGGGCAAGAGUUGGAUUGUGUAAUCUUAAAUAUGUAAUGGAAGUUUUGUUUUGGGCCAGAUGUAUAGUGAUGGACCAAAUCUGCGGAAUGCGGAUCUGGGGGCGUCACAGAGUUGGUAUCAGAGCUAUAGUUAUAUCCUUAGGAUUUGAGAAACCCUAGGAAUAUAACGAGCGAGAAUGAUAUGAAGUUUAAGAUAAGUGCCCUAGUUGAACAUAUCUUCUUAUGUUAUAUUGCAUACGUGUUAAGUAAACUUUUAGCAAAGGGUAGUAGACCCUAUAUAUAUAAAUAUUUAUAGUUAUGAGCAAUCGUAGAUGUGACUAUUAGUAAUGAUGUUUUUGUAUAGAUGUCAGGUUACGAGGCUGAUUUUAAUCCACCGAUGGAUAUUGAGAUGAUAGAUAGCGAGUAUGAGAAUACUUCUAUACAGAUAUUAGAGUCAUCAUCACCUGAGAUCAUUAACCUGGUAUCUAAGGAGAUCAAGGAUAGAGAAUCUUUUGAGUUUACUAAGAGCAAUGGAUGAAAAUCUUUCCAUCCUUACGUGAGUUGACUUGUGUUCCUACUUUGACCACUUCCUUUUCGACUUCCAUCGGUACUGUUUCCCCACCUGUUUAUGAGAGUUGAGACCCUUCCAUUUUGGACUUGUUUCGGCAUUUCGAGCCUACACCUCUUUCUUAUAGACCUAUUAUCACACAUACUUUUGAUAGUUAUCAUUUUGGGACCGUUGUGUCAUCUUUGAUUGGAAAUGCUUCUAUAACACCUUUGAGGGGUCACCCCCAUGUUUACACCAUAUCUGAACCUCGAGUUCGAAUUACACUUUUUUUUUUUACUACCAUGUCAAAGACUUGUGUACCAUUUACUUUCAUAUCCACCAUUUCAGUUUCUGCACCUCAGACCACUCUUUGUCAAAUUAGUGGAUCUUUCGACGCACCAGUUUCUGUACCAUCAGGUGGCGACUAUGUGCCACUUUCUUUGUUCCAUCAAUACCAGUUGUUGAGAGAGUCUACUUAUGACUCUAGAGUUUGGAUUCCAGGAUCUCACGACCCUAUGUUUGUUCUGCGGGUUCAGGAUUUUUGACCCGAGUAUUUAGCAUGGGGGAUUAUGUAUAAAAUUUCUAUUUCUAUAUUUGAGGGACUUCAUGCUAAUAUCUGUGAAAUACCCUCCAUCAGCUCAGGAUAUGUAAAUGUUAAACUUUUUACAACACUGAUAAAUAGAACCUUUUCAGAGUUCCACCGUAGGAUCUCAGGGAUAUCUGGUUGAUAUAUUUGUUGUUUUAAGUAUAAUUUGACUUUUGGGAAAGAACACAUGUAGUCCGUGUGUAUCUCAAUUAUGGUAUAUUAUGUAUCUAGAGGAUAUGUAAAUACUUUUGUAUAGUAUCGGGAUGGAGAAUUGUUCACUUCCUUUUAUUGAGAAACAGAUGCUACAGUUUCGAUCAGUAGAUCAUUUUGGUAGUAGAGAUUUAUAUAAAGUGAUCUUUUGUAUAGUGGUGUCCAGAUUAAAUUUGAUAUAGUAGGGUGAUGACCAGAUCAGAUAUACUUCUAUAUCAUGACUUGUACUCUAAAAGCUUCAGAUAUUAUGACCACUUUGGGAAGAAUGAUCAAUCUUGUUGUCAUAUUGGUGUCUCUUUCUUUGUCUAUACUUUCCCUAUGCUUCUUGCACUUGUCAACUACUUUUAACCUGUUUCACUCCUGUCAACCUAUCUUGCAUCUGCUACCUCAAUGAUCCAAUGUGAAAUUUUUAUGAUUAUAUUUACUCAACCUUUUAAAGUUUUUUUUUUCUUUUUCGAGGUUUUCAAAAAAAAAAAAAAAAAAAAAAGAGAAACGUUCAAGUUUCUAAAGUUUUAGAGUUUUCAAAAGAAAAGGUACAACCUUUAAAGUUUCUAAAAGUUUUCAAAAAUAUGCAACUUUGGUACAACUUGUAUUUUCAACCAAAAUGUGGAACCUGUUUUCAAAAAUUAUAUACUGUGAAUUUUUCAAAAUUGCACCUUGUUGUACCUUUAAAUAAAUCUUGUAAUUUUGUAUAAUGAUGAAACCUAUUUUGUUCACUUUUAUAUAUUUGAAUUCGAACCUGAAUGACAACUCUUUUUAUGAAUCAAUACUAGAUGCUUCACCUGGAUUUCAACCCAGGCCCAAUCCUGUUCAAUUACUUGUUGAUUUUCUUCAACAACAUACCCAAAAUUUUCAAAACAAUCCCGAAAGAAAUUCUUCGAGUCGAAACCUACCUUUUCAUUCAAAUCUUUCAAAUUUUUGCCACCACAAGAGUUUAAAAGGGGAUGUUGAUCCUGUUGAAGCCAAGAUAUGGCUAAGAUUUUGAAAUAGUGGGUAUAGAAGAUGAUAAGAAAAUUAAUUUUGAUGUUUAUGAAGAGUCUAAUUAUUGGUGGGAAGUUAAGCAAGUCCUAGAAGAUUCUAGCGUGAUGUCAUGGACCAGGUUUACAAAGUUAUUCCUAGAAAAGUAUUUACCUAAACACCUAGAGAAUCAAAUGGAGCUCAAAUUGCUAAAGCUCAAGCAAGAGAAUAUGUCAAUAGCUGAGUACGAAGCUAAGUUUAUCGAACUUUCGAAAUUUAUUCCGCAUCAAGUAUAUACCGACGAAAAAAAAAAAAAAACUGAAAAACUAGACGUUUUUCAGCCGGGCUUAAACCCCUGGAUUUAGAAUAGAGUUGUUGUUCUCGAGAUUUCUAGUUAUGCGACAUUAGUGCACAAAGCUUGUAUUAGUGAGUUGUUUAACCAAAAAGUAAGUUAGUCGAAGGCGGAAACCCACGCAAAAUAAUCAAAAUGAUGGAAAGAAACCUUGGACUUAUGUUGUGAAGAAACCUUUUGUAAGAGAUGUCGCGAGUGAAGGAUAUAGGUAAAGUAGAAGCAAAUCAAAGAUGUAGAAUUUCGCAAACCGCAAAUGUGUUAUAAGGAAGACUCUCGUUGCUUGAGUACGGAUCUGUGGAAUACGCUAUUUAUGAAUAAUAUUACAUUUCACACUGUUUCUGCUCAAGUUGACAUCAUAUCUCAUUUUGAAAACUGAGAAGUUUAUGAUGUAUCUUGAGUCCUUUCUUUGUUCGGAAGCGACUACUCCUAAUAAUCAAUAUUUCUUUGAUGUUACAAAAUCUUUUGUGAUUCAUGAUUUAAUAGUCGAGAAUUGGAAUAAAUAUACACCACAAUGAUGAUCUCAAUAUAAUAAUUCUAAGAGAUCGUCUCAUAUUUGAUCCUAUUUCUUAUUUUAUCCACUGAAAAUCCUUGAAUUGUGAUUAAAGGAUGCAUUGCUCGCAUUCCUUGGAAGAAGUGUGUUGAGAAAUAAUUAUGGUAGAUCAAGGUUGCCCAAAUUGUGAAAUAACGAUUCAAAAGCAAAUCUUUGAAAUAAAUAUUCCUUGAUAUUUCUUCAAUCUGAUUGGGAUGAACAACCCUAAUUAUAGGGGACACAAGGUAUACCUAUCUGUGUGAUAGGAGUUGGAUGGGACGCCAUCACUUGUGUGUGUGUUGUAAUUACAAGAAGGUUAACAACCUUUAGUAGUGUCUUAAUUUGGACACGCAACACUUAGUUCAUUUGAUCGUAUUGGGCUCCCAAUCAUCCUUUUAUUUCAAAUGAGAGCUACUUUGAAAACUCAGUGAUCAGUGAUACCAUUGUGAAAGACUUCUAUAUGUCCAAGAGAGUUUUAAAAAUUCCGAUUUCCUUUAAAUUCUUCUCGAAAUGCUCAGAUAUCAAAUUGUUUGGUUUUGUUCUUUUCAAAAACGCAAUUUUUCCUAAGUUGUUUUGAAAAGGUGUUGUAUGGAGGUGUCAAAUCCAGACCCCCGGAUUUGAGGGUUGUUACAUCGAUUAUUGGGAUUUAACAAGAUGACCCUUGCCUAGGGUUGAUGAUUGUUUUAGUUGUUGAGGAAAGCAUCUUAUUUUUUUAAGAUAGACACGAGAUCUGGAUAUCAUCAGUUACAGAAUCGGGUCUGAGAAUGUACCUAAGACGGUCUUUAGGCCCCGACAUGAACAUUGUGAGUUCUUAAGAGAUGCCUUUCGGAUUGACUAAUGCACCUAUAACAACUAUGGAUCUUAUGAAUAGAGUAUUGAAGAAAUAUUUGGAUAAGUUCGUUAUUGUUUUAUUGAUGAUAUAUAAUAUAUUCUCAGACGAAAGAAAAACAUGUUGAGCAUCUUAGAGUAACUUAGAAAAUUUUGAGGAAAGAAAAGUUACCUGCAAAAUUUUCAAAAUGAGAAUUUUGAUAAAGCAAGUAUAGUUUUUAAGGGCAUAUAGUUUUUAAGAAAGGAAUAUUGGUAUACCCGCGAAGAUUGAGGAAUUAUC